Molecule: ribosomal RNA, 599 nt
Filed under: uncultured bacterium
Lineage: Bacteria
Description: bacterial SSU rRNA
Rfam family: Bacterial small subunit ribosomal RNA
Source: RNAcentral
AUGCAGCGGCACCUAAUGGUGACAGUUGUUAAAGCGGGGGAUCGCAAGACCUCGCGUCUGAAGAGGAGCCUGCGGCAGAUUAGCUAGUUGGUAAGGUAACGGCUUACCAAGGCGAUGAUCUGUAGCCGGCCUGAGAGGGCGGUCGGCCACACUGACACUGACAUACGGGUCAGACUCCUACGGGAGGCAGCAGUCGGGAAUUUUGGGCAAUGGGCGAAAGCCUGACCCAGCAACGCCGCGUGAAGGAUGAAAUCCCUCGGGAUGUAAACUUCGCAAGAACGGGAAGAAUAAGUAAGAGCUAACAUCUCUUACGAUGACGGUACUGUUUGUAAGCUCCGGCUAACUCCGUGCCAGCAGCCGCGGUAAUACGGGGGGAGCAAGCGUUGUUCGGAUUUACUGGGCGUAAAGGGCGCGUAGGCGGCCUCUGCAAGUCGACUGUGAAAUCUCCGGGCUUAACCCGGAACGGUCAGCCGAUACUGCAGGGCUAGAGUGCAGAAGGGGCAACUGGAAUUCUCGGUGUAGCGGUGAAAUGCGUAGAUAUCGAGAGGAACACCUGCGGCGAAGGCGGGUUGCUGGGCUGACACUGACGCUGAUGCGCG